This 2226-nucleotide small RNA is filed under the name Rattus norvegicus (Norway rat). RNAcentral's name for it is "uncharacterized LOC108352577". The record is from RNAcentral. Lineage: Eukaryota; Metazoa; Chordata; Mammalia; Rodentia; Muridae.
AUAUCAUGUUAUAUAUACAUAUCGGGGAGCUGGUCCAAGUGGUUGAUUUUAAAAAAAAAUCCACUAUAUCACAGGUUAACAUAUAUCAGAAAUUAUAUGAUUUCUUAUACAUACCAAUAUAUUUAAUAGUAAUUUAUUUCCAUUCUCAAAUGUUUCUGUUUCUUGUUUUAUUCAACAUAUAGCCUCCUUAACCAAAAUAUUGGCUAGAUCAACUUUUGACUUCACUAGCCUCUUUCCAUAUUACUUUAUUGAUAGAUUAGAUCAUUCAAACCUUCCUGUCCCUUUUCCCUCCUCAACUGACAUUAUUUUAUACUUUUUUGUUUUUUAAUUGUUUUUCAAAAAUUACUGAAUGUCUUCUCUUUGAUACAAAUCCACCCCAAAGAGCAUUUAACACAUCAUUUAUUGAACACGUACUGUGUCCUAAAUACUUUAAAUGGAUUUUCUGAUUUACUCCUCACAAUGUUUCUUUGACAUGAGUUGCACUGCUAUAUUUGACAUAUGCAACUGAAAGUUGGCAGGACUAAACACAUUUCUCAGAUUCACAGUUAUUUGAGUGUUAUAUUUGGUGAUUGACUUAAGCGACCGAUUGAAUGUUGAGUUUGACAUCUAUGCAACAAGAAAAAGGAGAUGGCCCUGUAGUGAUAGUAAUGUUGGGACACAGAUGUUUUGCUAAUGCUUCACCUAACACUGAGCUCUCAACCCUGACCACAAAGCACAAGCAAGGAUUGGAAAAUCUAGCUAAUAAAAAUUUGACCACCUGUGAUCACCACUGAUAUCGUUAUCUCUGUCAUUCACCAUAAUCCUUGUUCAUUAAGUGAAAACUCUCUGAAUUGGUUAUCUUUUCUUGAAGCACUGUCCUAGAUUUGCAAUGUCAUUUUAUUCCCUGCAGGAAGAUGUGAAGAAUGGGGGAAGAAAUCACUCUUCACUCAAGGGUGCUGCAUUGAGGCCUCCCUCAUUCCUACGUUCUACUACUUUUAUGAGUAACACUUUUGUCCCUUUGUCAAACAGCUAUAUUACAUCUCACUGAGAAUUCUAGACCCUUCACCCAGCGAGUACUUAUUGAGUGCUACUUUGAGUUGGAUGCGGAAAUCUUCGCAUGUAUUUGGAGAGCUUACACUCUGACUUGAACUGGGGCUACCACCCAGGAGACAACAGACAACACUGCGCAAAGCAGUGGGAACUAAACUCCCAUAAGGAAACCACAUUUGCUGUGAAUUCAUGAGAGCAGCUUAUACUGAAGACACUGUUUAACCCCAAUCCUCCCUGAUCACUGGCUCUGACAAUAUUCCUAUCUGCUCUCCUGUGAUGGUCCCUGAGCUUUGUGAAGGGCGUGUGAUGUAGAUGUCCUGUUUGUCAGUUGAACAAUCCGCAGUCCCUAGUUCUUUACACUUAGAUUUGUUGAGAAUUUCUGUGUUGAUCAUUAUGCAGUGCAUAAGCUCUGUCUGUUUGUUGGCUCUCCUACGACUAGAAGGUGAGGUGCUAUACAGUCUGCUGGGGAGACUCAUUGGCAGUCUUAUCCAGUUGAGAGCUCCAGUACACUUUUGAAAGACUUUGUAGUGAGUGAUAUAAGUAUUUCUUCCUUGCACAAAUAUAAAAUAAAUUUCAUUUUCCUUCUUUAGAGACUAUUUGCUUCCAUAUUUCCUUUGACUAUUCUCAGGAUGCAUCUUUUGAUCCCUCUAUUUUGCUCACAUGAUUAUCUUUUCUUCCUUCCUUCCUUUCUUCCUUCCUUCCUUCCUUCCUUCCUUCCUUCCUUCCUUCCUUCCUUCCUUUCUUUGUGUGUCUAAGAUGGAGCUAUCCAGGGAUCAGGAGGUAAACAUAAUCUUUACUGAGGGGUUACCAUUUCUUCCAUCCAUUCCUUAAGUGUUUGGACCCACUCCUGUCUUUUUGUCCAGGACUCACCAGUAAAUGAACAAGCCACUGGGGUAGUUGUUUUGCAUGCUUUGGUUUUCUACACCAGCAGGAGACAGCUGGAGUGCAGCAAAUGAGUGGGCAAGCCUAGGCUGUUCCAGACCUUCCCAGUAGGAUGAAUCAGGGACAAUGAGUCAUUUGUUUCUGACUCCUGUAAUUUAUCCACAAUACCUGUACUGCUUGCUAAUGUGGGGGCUAUUGUCAUGUCUUCAUUGUUGUUUUUCCUUAUCGUCAUUCCCCAAUAUCUUGCCAUAUUUAUAUUCCUUUAUCUUAUUUCUCUCCCUUUGUACAAUUACAAAUACAUCUAUUCAUUUAGUA